CUCAGGAGCAGAGCUUCUCUAAGAUCAAUUCAGCCUGCCUUCCCCCCUCCACCUUGUCUGCUACCUCACUGAAAUAAAAUGAAUAGAAAGACUCUACCUGUCUCCAACUCCACCUUAAGAAGGAGGGCCCGUGUAGACGUAGAAAACCGACUUAAACAAAUGCGGGAUGACGCCACAAAUUUAAUUGACUUUCAGAUGACAACAGAGAGGAACCUUGACCAUGGACACAUCAGUGAAGAGCAUUUUCAUGAAAGUCACACUGGAACUGAUAAUCCACACUGUCUAGACACUGAAACCGGUGCUGGUUUUAGUGAGCAAGAUGGCAUGGAGAUAGAUCUAGGCCUGUCUGAGGAUUUUGAGGAUGCUGCUUGUGAUGUUCAGACUCAGACAUCUGAGUCUGAUCAUUUUGAUGAUGAACUCCAAGACUCGGUUUCACUCUCUGACAGUUUAUCCCACUGGGCCAUACAAUUUCGUAUUUCCUUGGUCGCUUUGACAGCAUUAUUGGCC
This is a long non-coding RNA of Archocentrus centrarchus (flier cichlid), 507 nucleotides long. RefSeq lists it as uncharacterized. The record is from RefSeq and is a predicted model, not a curated record. The transcript is spliced from 3 exons. Lineage: Eukaryota; Metazoa; Chordata; Actinopteri; Cichliformes; Cichlidae.